This is a long non-coding RNA of Diorhabda carinulata, 4264 nucleotides long. RefSeq lists it as uncharacterized. The record is from RefSeq and is a predicted model, not a curated record. The transcript has 2 exons. NCBI's taxonomy places the organism in Eukaryota, Metazoa, Arthropoda, Insecta, Coleoptera, Chrysomelidae.
UUGAAAUGCUCCAUCUUUUGAAUGUCAACUACAAUUCAUUAAUGGAAACACAAAUAAUAAUGAAAGAAAAUUUGUAGGAUGCCACUUCAAAUUAUUGUAUUCAUUAUUUGACAGGAAAAUGAUUUUUCUAUACUCAUUUGAAGAGUAGUAGUAUAGGAGCUAGUAACGUUUUUGAGAGAGAAUUCCAGGUCAGUUGAUUUUUUGAUAUGUUGAGUAAGAAACUCUUUCGGUUAGAGUCUGGGCUACCUGGCUAGCAGUAGCGUUUGCGUUUGUUAAUGCGUAUCCUACUUGUACAAGUAAUAAUCCUGAAUUUUUUAAUAAUUAUUGAACGCGUAAUUUUUAAAGUUUUGAAUUUAGAUAGGUCUCACAGACACACAUUUUUUAUUGCCAGGCAUUUUCAGUGUGCGAAUUUUUUAUUGCUUAGAAUCAAAAAUUCAAAGCAUUUCAGAAUGUCCGUAUUUUUUAUAUUGUAUUCUUUGAAGAUAAAAUAGUCUAAAGAUAAUUUGCCAAAAAAAUUAAAAACUCAUGUAAAGUAUUGCCCUAUGAUGCUAGUAGUCAAAGAGAAAGAGAGAGAGUUGUAGAAUAUGAUCAAGAAUGAGACAGAAAAUAAUUUCAAAAUUACGUUACUUACAUUCCUUCUAUUCAGAACAAAUUUAUAUAUAAGAAAUUCAAACAUUGGAACAGAAAUAAAAUUGGAAUAAAGUUCAGUUAGAGAGAAGAAAAUUGAAAAAUGCGUCAUUAACGUUUUAAAAUUUAUUGAAUUUAUUGAAAAUAAAAUUUGAUUUAUAAGGCCUAACUUUACCUUUUCUAAAAAAUGCUGGCGUGUACUUACAUCCAGUAAGCACCUGGAAACAUGGUAUAGCUUUCUAUAAAGAGACACCAAGGAUUCGGUACAGUUCAUUUACGUUGAUGUAUCGCUGAUGAUUGCCUACACCCAUAUUUUUCCAAAUUUUUGAAAAUGAAAAUGAAAAUGAAAAAGCGUUUAAAUGAUCCAUAUUUCCCAGAAGUAUAAUUUAAAUAUCAGAGUCUGAACAGCAUAUAACAAAUUCUGCGUCUAAAUCAAUUUGACAAAUCGAUGGUUUUCUGACGCACGUCGUAUCUCAAAAACUACUACUUUUCAGGAAUGACAAAAAACAUUUUAUAAUGAAACUAGCUGACCCGGCCACGCGUUGCUGUGGCUGAAGUUUUUGUUAUAUUACAUUAUAGUAAACAAUCUAAGAGGAACGAUAAAAGAACAUCAGACACGGAGUCCACUAUGCUUAUUUACACAGAUGGUAUUUGAAAAAAAAAAAUGGUGAUCUCCUUAUUUGACUUUCUACUACUAUAACCCUUUAGUACAAUGAAAUUAUUUACGAACAAAGACGAAAAUGUUGAUGGUGGUAUACAAAUUCACUGGAUUGAGAUUUGAAGGGGAAACAUGGCGAAAGCUAAACGAAUUGGAAACUGUAGCCUUUUGAAGGGUAUGGUAGAAUCUGAUGGUAUCAUCGGAAUACGUGGCAGCAAAACCACUUUUCCUUUAAACUUCCCAGCCAAAAUGGUUGCUUCAAGAAUGUUACCGGUGAUCUUUUUGAUGACCAAACGCGUACCGUUACAUAAUUGAGGCGGAUUCAAAUUACGGAGGAGAAUAAUAGGGGAACCAAUCUUUAAUCGAAGAUUAUGUGGUGGCAUUCCAGGUAUAUCUAAUGAAUUUAAAAAUUCAAUCGGAAAAUUGCACAUUGAAAUAAUAAGUGCUAAAUAAUAGAGAUUAAAUAAAAACAAUAAAAAAAAAUAUUUGUACAACUAUUGAAAAAGUGUAGGAAAUUGUGUAUCAUUUUUUCAUUGACAUUUUAAUUAAAUUUUAUAAUUAUGUGAUAAUACUUACAUACAUAUAUUCAAAUUAAAUUAUAAAGUUUUGAUCAAUGAAGCACAAAUAAGUAAAAAGCAGGAUUAAUUUCACUGUAUUAUCUUCAUUAUAAUAUGAAUUCAAUUAACAUUUCAGUCUAAGUAACACGUGGCCGGCUAUGCUAACACCAAAAAUUUAAAAAGUGGAAAUAAUUGAAUUAUGCGGUAUUUCGUUCACUACAAAAUAAAUUUAAUUAAUUUUAUAGCGUCAACAACACGUGGUAAUUAUGCUGUGAAAAUGUAGCUUAUAUGACACGUUCGUAGAUUUACCAUAGCAGCGCCAUCUAUUGAUUACUUACUCAACCCAGUCGAAAGGUAUCGACAUCUGUUAGAAUCAUUUGGAGUUAACAGAUAAUUUUGACUGUCAAAUAAUAACAGACGAAUAAUUAGCAAUAAAUUAAAAUUGCGACUAUAAUUUGAGAUUUAAACUAUCCUAUCUCUCAAGUUGGAUCGAACUGCACAUGGUGUGCAAAUUUUAUUAUAAUCGGUUAAGUGGUUUAGGAGUCCAUUGAGGACAAACAUUGUGACACGAGAUUUAUAUAUAUUAAGAUUGAAAAUUUUUUUAAACAAUUUUUUUUAUUAAUUUAAAAAAUAUUCACUCUUAAUAAAUUUUUGAGAUAAGUUUAGCAUUUAAAACAUUUAAUCAUUAUUUUUUCUUUUAUUUUCUGAGAUACGUGUUUGCUGCAGAGGAAAAAACGUAACAUACGUGAUUGCGUAGUAAUCUUUACAAAUAUAAGUACAUGGAAAAGUUUUGUUAAUUAUUUUAUUUUGCGAACAAAUUAACUUUUUAAAUCAUUCUUAAUCGAAUAAAAAUGUUAUUGUUUAACUUUUAAAUAAUAAGAGUUCUUAAUUACUACAAUAUAUUACUCUUUUAAAUCUAGAUAAAUUUGUUGUCUUAAUUCUAGUAUUAGUAUUAAUAUCACAUAGUUUCAUUAAUACUUUUAAUCACUUUCAUUGGCUUUUCGAAUAGAAUUAUAAAAUAAAAUAAUCAUCAAAUAUUAUUUUUUUUCAUUGCCUACAGACAAUACUUGCAGAUUUAAAAAAAUAUCAUUUUUAAUUUUCAUUAUUCACGUAUCUUAAAUUUCCAUAAAAAGAGUGAUAGUCCUUAGGUAUUAAUUGUUUGAGAGAUAAUAAGUCCAUGUAUUUUUGUUUAGUUAAUGGGAUUUCUUUAGAAUAUAAAGCCUUAAUAUCAGUAUUGACAGAAAUUUUUUUGUUCAAACGUUGUGGAAGAUCCUCCCAUUCGUUAUCAAAGGAUAACUUAAACAUUAUCUUGUCUUGACUAUAUUUUAAUCCUCUCAACUGUAAUACUGUUGGUGAACCAGUUUUAUUUCCAGGCCGAAUUGAUUUGUAAAAUUUUAAAUCAGAGUAAUUUUUCAAAAAUUUAUAAUCAAGAUAUUUAACUUUGUACGGUUUUUUCAUCCUAGACUCUUCAAUAAUUUUUACAAAGUUACACGGUGCAUACAAUUCGCGAUCUUUUUUACGUCUUUCUAUUGCUGCAUGAACCGAAUCACAUUCCAUCUGUGUGUGACCUUUAACUAAAUAUUUUUGACAUAUUUCAAUAUUAUUUUUUGCAGCGAAUUGAUAUAAAGCGUUAGCUAUAGUGACAUUGCGGUUCUGGGCACUGCAACCAUCACUGUAAAAUACAAUCGGCGUAUCAAGCUCAACUUCGGUUUGUAAAAAAUCAAGAAGACAAGACGCAAAAACGUUACCAUCCAUGCCACCUUCACCUUCGUGCCAUACAUAACACAAUACAUCUCCAUUAGCUAUAUUAUACACUGUAAAUUGAUGACACUUUAAUUUCUGUUUAAAGUAAAGAGCACCUGCUGGUAAAUGUGGUAUCAUUUGCACAGCCUGGACAUCUACAGUGAAUGCCUUGAUCUCUCCAGCAAUAGCCUUUGUUUUAUCUUGUUCUUUUUCAUCCCGAGCACGGUCUUUUUCUUUCACAUGAUUAUUGUACUCUUCUAUAGAUAUAUUUUUAUUUUUAAAAGCAAAACAAGUAUCGCAGAAGUCUUUACGCGGUUGAAAAAUGUCAAUAUUCAUAGAUUGCAUUUUUUUAAGUAAAAAUCCAUAGCUAGGCACUUCAUUGUCUGGAAUAUUCAGCUCUUUCAUAGAUUUUGAAAAAUCCCGGUAUACAUCUUGAGCAGACUUGUAUAAAUUAUCUAAAUAUAAUUUUGAAGUAUCUUUUCGGCAGUAGUGUGACUCCAUCUUGGGCAACUUAUUUAAAAAAUUCUCAACAUGUGAUAGCUUUCCUUUGACUUCUGUAGAAUUUUUUCUAGUGUUUUUGAAUUUUGUUUUUUUCAAUAAACCGCAAUCAUCACUUUUCUUUACCCAGUUUAGAACUUGGGAUUCUCCUAAAGUCAAUGUACUCAAGAACAUUUUUUUA